UACGUAGGGCGCAAGCGUUAUCCGGAAUUAUUGGGCGUAAAGAGCUCGUAGGCGGUUUGUCGCGUCUGCCGUGAAAGUCCGGGGCUCAACUCUGGAUCUGCGGUGGGUACGGGCAGACUAGAGUGAUGUAGGGGAGACUGGAAUUCCUGGUGUAGCGGUGAAAUGCGCAGAUAUCAGGAGGAACACCGGUGGCGAAGGCGGGUCUCUGGGCCGAUACUGACGCUGAGGAGCGAAAGCGUGGGGAGCGAACAGG
Molecule: ribosomal RNA, 253 nt
Filed under: uncultured bacterium
Lineage: Bacteria
Description: partial 16S ribosomal RNA
Rfam family: Bacterial small subunit ribosomal RNA
Source: RNAcentral